This 605-nucleotide ribosomal RNA is filed under the name uncultured Gammaproteobacteria bacterium. RNAcentral's name for it is "partial 16S ribosomal RNA". It matches the Rfam family "Bacterial small subunit ribosomal RNA", at positions 1 to 604 of the family's 1533-position model. The record is from RNAcentral. Lineage: Bacteria; Pseudomonadati; Pseudomonadota; Gammaproteobacteria.
GGCGGCCGCGGGAAUUCGAUUAGAGUUUGAUCAUGGCUCAGAUUGAACGCUGGCGGCAGGCCUAACACAUGCAAGUCGAGCGGUAGAGAGAAGCUUGCUUCUCUUGAGAGCGGCGGACGGGUGAGUAAUGCCUAGGAAUCUGCCUGGUAGUGGGGGAUAACGUUCGGAAACGGACGCUAAUACCGCAUACGUCCUACGGGAGAAAGCAGGGGACCUUCGGGCCUUGCGCUAUCAGAUGAGCCUAGGUCGGAUUAGCUAGUUGGUGGGGUAAUGGCUCACCAAGGCGACGAUCCGUAACUGGUCUGAGAGGAUGAUCAGUCACACUGGAACUGAGACACGGUCCAGACUCCUACGGGAGGCAGCAGUGGGGAAUAUUGGACAAUGGGCGAAAGCCUGAUCCAGCCAUGCCGCGUGUGUGAAGAAGGUCUUCGGAUUGUAAAGCACUUUAAGUUGGGAGGAAGGGCAGUAAAUUAAUACUUUGCUGUUUUGACGUUACCGACAGAAUAAGCACCGGCUAACUCUGUGCCAGCAGCCGCGGUAAUACGAAUCACUAGUGAAUUCGCGGCCGCCUGCAGGUCGACCAUAUGGGAGAGCUCCCAACGCGU